RNAcentral lists this ribosomal RNA (202 nucleotides) under uncultured bacterium. RNAcentral's name for it is "partial 16S ribosomal RNA". It matches the Rfam family "Bacterial small subunit ribosomal RNA", at positions 328 to 539 of the family's 1533-position model. The record is from RNAcentral.
ACGCUCGACACCUACGGGAGGCAGCAGGUGGGGAAUAUUGGGCAAUGGGCGCAAGCCUGACCCAGCAACGCCGCGUGAAGGAAGAAGGCCCUCGGGUUGUAAACUUCUUUUAUCAGGGACGAAGCAAGUGACGGUACCUGAUGAAUAAGCCACGGCUAACUACGUACCAGCAGCCGCGGUAAUCUGAGCGGGCUGGCAAGGC